GCUGAAGAUGAGCUACUGUGAACUCCAUUUUAAAAUAUAGAUUACAGUUUAUGCUAAAUCCUUCUGGUUUUGCACUUUAUUGUUUUCCAUUUGUCAGAAUCUGAUAGACGCAGAAAACCCUAUGAAACUUCCUGCUUCAAGAAUUCUUGAUGGAAUUGUUCCAGUUCUGCCUGUGCAGUUCAAAUACAUUUAUUUUCUAGCUGAUUAUAAGACCAGACCACAAAGAGCUGAGCCAAGCUUAGCAGAAAGCAAACUUAGGGCUGUGUCCUACCUGGCCAGUGACUGGGUAUCAAACUGUGCAAAAGGAAGAGAGAAAUACUUUCUUACAGACUUAGGUCAGAGUUCUAAUGUAUUUGUUAGUGUGUGAUUUCUGCAUUGGGUAGACUCUGCAAAGAUACAUUAGGAUCUAGGGGUGUCCUUGGAACAUGCACAGCAGCUUGCCAGGGGAGCUGAUUGGUAUAAGUGACCCCAGUUUGAAUCCAUCGAGGACUAGCUCCAUGAAGAGAUUUAAAUGACUGACGUGGAGUUCAAGGUACACAUAUCCCAAACUAUGGAAGGCAUAGAGAGCACACUGGCAGUAAAACUGCCAUUUUUUCCCCUUCAUAGAAUGGUAGAGGCUGGAAAUAAGGACAUUUAAUAACAAAGCAAUUUUUAGGUGCCAGAGAUCUACUCGAUGCCUGAGUUUUAACUAUUGAUGCUGCGUGUCCUGUGCAGCCAGUGCUGGUUGGUGUGUGAUGUGAAGCUCUUUAGGAAGGUACUGCCUCCCACCAUUUCCAACUUAGGAAACUUUCUGGAUCCUUUCCAGGAUACAACUCAGCUAUAUGUUCAAGUAAGUGUUGGAGCUUCCAUCUGUUUUCUGAUUCCAUUAUAGUACCAUACUCUUAAUUUUUCAGUGAUCUAUGAAUUUUUUUUCUUUUGAUACCUGGAUCUGCUAUGCAUUCUGAAUUCAUUUGGAUGUUAAAAUACAGCAGAGAAAAUUGUGGUGACAAAGCAAACAAGUUAAAAGUUUAUUUUGGCAUGAAAUGGUAAGACUAUUAUCUUUGAUGGACUAGGUGAAAGCAAGCCUGGACCUAAGCUUCAUGAUCAUGAAGGAUCUCACCUUUAUCAGUGGAAAAAUGGUAAUUCUAGUUUAGACAACUAGAACAACUAUUUCUAGUUGAAGUGAAUGCAAUGAAAAAAUGAUCACCCUGCUGUCUGUUUGGGGCAAUAUGAUAAAGCACAGUUGGUCUGAUAUGCCCUCCAACAUUCUCAGGUGCCUUUUCACAACCUCCUUUGGAGGGGUUUAUGCCUGUGGUGGGAGAUCUGACUGAACAUCUGUAAAACAGAUGAAGGUUGGCAUGGGAGACCAGAGAUUAUCGAACUGUGAAUUGCACACAGUUAUCAUCUUUUUUUAUCUUUCAAAAUAUCACAGCCAGGAAACUUUAAGGAUUCUCAUGUACUUCCUCAGUACUGAUGCACUUUGAAUUGUUACAGCACAUUUUGAAUCAUCUCCGUGGAAGAUGAGGAGGCAGAUAAAGCCCUUUACUGCAGAAGGCAGUUUGCUGGAGCGUCUUUAUGGAUAUAAUUUUCAGAGGACCUCUUGAGCUGUUGAUCAAAAAGGCAAAUCUAAGUGAACUUCCAAGAAUCAUCUUAAAAUGAGCAGUGUCACCAUGAAGGUACAACAGCCACACCAUGAUGGGAUAUUUGCUGGUACGCAGUGAAGAACAUAAAAUCUCUACAAGAGCAGCCUGAAGUGCAGCGCUGAGCUGAUGGACAAGCACAUGGAGAGAAUAAAUCACAAACUGUUCUUCAGGAGAAGAAAAGUUAAUGUAACUCUUUGCUUGUCUCUUCUGACCUAGGGACCUUAAGAAAAAAGUAAAUAGUGCUGAUGCAGAGGAAGACUGUGCAAGACUCCGACUUGAAAAGAAGGUACACUUGAAAUGGUACAUAUUAUUAAGGAAACCCUUGUAUCUGGAAAAAGUAAUUUCAGAAGCUAUGUUAUGGAGUUGCCCUUAAAACAGUAGUUACAUGUACUAAAUGCUGAGGUUUGUGGAAAUGGGCUGGCCAGAUGCAAUCACACAGAUUUAGCACAGCCCAGCACCUGCUGUCUUGGCCUGGCCACGUGGAUACAAAGAUCAGUGCAGAUACUUGAUGACCACAGCAAGAUUAUCUGUUACAAGGCUUGAUUUUCCCAAGAGUCAUGUGAAAACACCUGUGAUUUUUAAUUGAUUUAAUUAAUGAGUAAACUGGAUGAAGCUGAAUGUAAGUUUGUGUUUGGAAGAGGAGACGAAGUGCUGAAGCAAGAGAACCAGUAGUUUUCUCUACUGGGAGAAGGGAAGAGCCUGUUUCCUGCUACAAAGCUCAUGUUUGAGGAGAACAGAGGACACAAGUAGUUUUUACCUGAAAAUGUGCUGAUAUGUGAGUAUAUGCAGGUGGACAGAAACCUCAUAUUUUCAUUCAGGUUUUCACUGUAUAGCUUUGAUCUGAAAUAACUGGGACAGAGGAGAGUUUUUAGCAGUUCUUUCUUACAUGGUAAAUGGCAUUUCUUUACAGAUAUCACAUUCAUAGAUAUAUUAAGAAACCACUUCU
This is a long non-coding RNA of Lepidothrix coronata (blue-crowned manakin), 2568 nucleotides long. RefSeq lists it as uncharacterized. The record is from RefSeq and is a predicted model, not a curated record. The transcript has 6 exons. Lineage: Eukaryota; Metazoa; Chordata; Aves; Passeriformes; Pipridae.